CUAAUUGAUAAGAAGCUCUGAUGGGAGCCUUGGAGGAAGCUGGCUCCUCACCGAACUUACUAAAGGGAGGCUGGAAAAGGAAAUAGCUGUUGUUGGAAGGGGGGAAGGCUUUGGUUAUCGAUUUCUUUUUUCUGUUGUUGUUUGCUUGGUGUUGUUUGUUUUGGGUUUUUUGGUCAUGAUUUGGAAAUGUGCUAUUAGGCAAGUGGAAGAAUUGAAAAACAGAACCAAGAGAGUUAUGUUGUGGGUCGAGGUUGCAAUGAAACAAGCAAAAAUACCCAGAAGGAGGUUUUCCAAAAGCAGAUGUCUUAAGGACCUUCCUGAGUCUCGAAUUCAGGCUCUUGGCCCUGAUGAAGCAGAAGCUGCCUGCAGGCAGCUUUUGGACAGCUGGAUGAAGAUAUCACUCGUCAAGCGUCAGCCCUCUCCAGGUGGCAUGGAUCUUCAUUUGGAUUUCAGGAGACAUAAACAACAGCAGCUUGUGAAGGCAACGCUUCUGUGAAGGAUGCCUCCCAUCUUUGAACAAUGAAGCCGUGAUACCCUCUGGAGACCCGGAGCUGCUGGAAGUAACCUAAGGCAUCCCCUCCCUUUCAGCACAGGCUCAGGGUUGAAGUGCAGGGAAGGUUGCAGGCAGGACCAGCUGUAGCUCAGGCAGCAGCCUCAAGAGGGAGAGAAGGCUUUCUCACAGGCUUUUAUGACCAAUGUUCAAAGGGAAAUGCCUUUAGAGAAGAAAAGGCCGGGCUUUCUGGCUGUACUAAACUCAGACCUGCAAAUCUGUUCUGUGGCUUUGCUUUCCCUGAUGCUUCUCUUCUACCUAAUCCUUCCCUUUUCUCCUGCUGAUGGCUGGGGACUUCUUUUCUCAGCCUGGGGGCUUUAAAGCUUAGCCUGGGAUGAGGAGUCUCACCUAAACAGAUUCAAAUCUGCACCUUUUCUCCUCGGUCAUCAUCCCUGUGUUUGACAGACAAAUAGCCUGGACAGGAGGGGAACGAACUGAUUAUUUCCCUUGAACUGAAGGACGCCCUGGCCCUGUGUGGUUGAUCACUGGACAAGAGCAGCACAAUUGGACAAAUGACCAAUAUAAUAGCUAACAAAUGGAAAGCUCUGCUGCCAGCAAAGGAGCUGGCUAUUUAAAGGCAGCAAGAGGUUUGCAGCACCAGCCCUAGCAACAAGGACAAAAGUUAUUCCAAACACAUGAGGCAAAGCCACCAUGAACCCACUGUAGCAUGCUAUUAAUAGGAAGGGGGCCUUCAUUAAUUUCUUAAAGGGUGAUGCCAAAACAUCAGAAGAAAUUUGUGGUGCACAUAAAGGAGCAGCACGUUGCACUGUAUCUAAUUGCCAGAGUAAUUAUUUUCUGCUAUGCAAAUUACCAGGAGCAAAUCCACUACAGUACAUCUAUGUGUAUUUAAUUAUCAUCAAGAGCUGGAGUUGAGGGACUAGAUUUAAUAUGUUCAUAAUGAAAUAGCCAGAAUUUGUGUGUGCAUUUGCAGGGAACUCGUUAUUUUGCCACAGCUGGAUUUGUUUAUUUUAAAUAAAUCAUUAUGGCAGAUACAGUUUCUGCGUGCUUGCCCAUCUGCUGAUUUAUCGUAAAAAUUGUGGUUUCAUUUCUAUGGGUGGUUUCUAUCAAACACACAUCACCCCUCUUGCUUGCAAGCUGGAUGUUUCUGUAGGAUUUAAGGAGUAGCUCAAUGCAAAGAAAAGCCAUUUUGUCCAUGGAUAAAUAAAGGCUGGAGAAAUAGAAGGAAUUAGGACCACCUGGGUGGGUUAAGAUUUUGUAAGGUUUUGGGUCUUCAUACUUACAAGCUUGUUGUGGUUUAAAACUGGGACAAGGAUGAAAACUGGAAUUUUAGAAGCACCCAUUUGUAAGCCAAACCUCUUACUGUUCAAUGUCUAUUUGAUGGUGUGCAUGAGGCAAGUUAAUGCUUUUGGUUUCUAGGGAAUAUUUUAUAUUUUCUCAUCAUAGCAAGAAACAAUAGAAGUGUACACAGGAUGCAGGAUUAUCACUCUGGGCCUGACAUGGCUCUUCUCCUCUUAAGCUUCAGACUUUCUGGGCCAGAGCUUUACUAAAGAUAUUGGGAUAUCAUUUCAAGGCUCAAGUUAUAAGAAAAAUAUUAAAACUGGGAAGAAAUACUUUUGCCACUUUGUCAUAUUUUGGUGGUUUUCUGUUAAUGGAACUCUUGGAAGAAAAAAAAAAAUCUGAAAUCCAG
Long non-coding RNA from Passer domesticus (house sparrow), 2198 nucleotides. RefSeq lists it as uncharacterized. The record is from RefSeq and is a predicted model, not a curated record. The transcript has 4 exons. NCBI's taxonomy places the organism in Eukaryota, Metazoa, Chordata, Aves, Passeriformes, Passeridae.